GAUGCUCUUAUAACUAAAGUGGCCAUUCUACAGGAAGAGUUUAUUUUAAUAAUGACAUCUUUGUUCCAGUGAUAAUAGACAAUAACAGAGAGUGACAAUUCCUCAAGGGGAGAAGGGAUUAUUCACUGUCCUGCCAAAAGGUCUUAAAUGGAACCAGGGUUUGGGUAAAUACUUUUUAUCUAAAUGAGGUCCAUUGUCCUGGACCUUAGGGAAAGAAAGGACAAGAGAAAAAAGAAAAAGGAAGAGUUUGGUUUCAGUUUAAACCAGCUCCCCUUCAGCUGCAUUUUACCCUUUUUACACACCACUUUAAGAAGAUGCCUACUCUCUGGAAUUCUCCUCAUCUGUCAAUAGACUAACCCACUGACACCCUGGAGAGAAUCCAGAGCAGGCUGUCUCUUCCUCACCCUCAGGCAUUUCCCAGCACAAAGAGGAAUUUACCCCAAAACGGGGACAGGAUUUGCCCAGAUGCAAGCCUUACAAGAAGAAAAAAAGAAGAGAGAGGCAAGAGAAGGGAGUGAGGUUCUGAAAUACCCAACACGAAUGGAAGUUGGGAAAAAGAGAGCCUGUCACAAAAGUACUCACAAACACAAAUUAAUCUGACUGACAGAGCAUAACAUUUAAAAUAACUUGGUGGGGAAAUGCAUAUGUUUAUUCAUAAAUAAAAAGGGAAAUGAGACAGAG
Long non-coding RNA from Felis catus (domestic cat), 681 nucleotides. RefSeq lists it as uncharacterized. The record is from RefSeq and is a predicted model, not a curated record. NCBI's taxonomy places the organism in Eukaryota, Metazoa, Chordata, Mammalia, Carnivora, Felidae. The transcript has 3 exons.